This 333-nucleotide ribosomal RNA is filed under the name Pseudomonas sp. MP2-1. RNAcentral describes it as "bacterial SSU rRNA". It matches the Rfam family "Bacterial small subunit ribosomal RNA", at positions 132 to 479 of the family's 1533-position model. Lineage: Bacteria; Pseudomonadati; Pseudomonadota; Gammaproteobacteria; Pseudomonadales; Pseudomonadaceae. The record is from RNAcentral.
GGUAGUGGGGGACAACGUUUCGAAAGGAACGCUAAUACCGCAUACSUCCUACGGGAGAAAGCAGGGGACCUUCGGGCCUUGCGCUAUCAGAUGAGCCUAGGUCGGAUUAGCUAGUUGGUGAGGUAAUGGCUCACCAAGGCGACGAUCCGUAACUGGUCUGAGAGGAUGAUCAGUCACACUGGAACUGAGACACGGUCCAGACUCCUACGGGAGGCAGCAGUGGGGAAUAUUGGACAAUGGGCGAAAGCCUGAUCCAGCCAUGCCGCGUGUGUGAAGAAGGUCUUCGGAUUGUAAAGCACUUUAAGUUGGGAGGAAGGGCAGUAAGAUAAUACC